Molecule: long non-coding RNA, 1638 nt
Organism: Eriocheir sinensis (Chinese mitten crab)
Lineage: Eukaryota; Metazoa; Arthropoda; Malacostraca; Decapoda; Varunidae
Exons: 4
Source: RefSeq, a predicted model, not a curated record
UUUUAUCUAUAUACUUAUCACUAUUGUACUUAUCUAACGCCUCUCUCUCCCCCCCCUCCCUUCACCACCACCACCACCACCGCCAGACCUGCCCAUCAUCACCACCACCACCACCACCACGACCACGACCACCACCACCACCCCCGCCCCCACCACCACCGCCUCCAAUGGACUCCUUCACCCGAGAUCAAACUUGUCAAAGGAUGGAGGUGCUGUUACUACUGCGACCAGCUUUUUCGAUUUCCCAAGCUUGUUCGGCUCAGCCAGUACGUCAGGAGGGGCGCGACCUGACCUUAACCUCUGGAGCGGCUGUUCUGCCCUCGUAUUGGUGGCGGCACAGCUGAGGCGUGUGUGGGAUGUGACACUGUGAGACCUGGCCACAUCCCUCCUCCCCCCUCCUGCUGCCUCAAGCCACAUCAAAAGAGAGAGAGAGAGAGAGAGAGAGAGAGAGAGAGAGAGAGAGAGAGAGAGAGAGAGUAUGUGUGUGUGUGUAUGUGUUUUAAUAGCCUAAUACUAAUAAUGUUUUUUUUUUUUUUAUUUACUACUAUACCGGUGAGCUUAACAACUAUUUAGCCCUAAGACUCUUGUGUGAUGGUAGACUUAAGAUUAUCCUACAUAUUUAUCUUAACUACUGAGAAAAACAGCAUAUUUCAUUCCUAAACGAAGACCAAACAACAUAUUUUACUCCUAAGCUACGACAAAAUUACAUUUCUCACUCCUAAACUACCAAGACUUAGGACCAAACAACAUAUUUCACUCCUAAACUAUCCAGAUGGCACAAGAAUGAAAGAGUGAACUGGCAAACUCUUGCAUUAGAAGAUUGGACACCAUAGGGAUGAAAGAGUGCAAUGGAUAACUCUUGCAUUAGGAAGUUGGACAGCAUAGGAAUGAAAGAGCGAAUUGGUUAUAAACUCAUGAUUUAGAAAGUUGAAUAGCAUAGGGAAGAAAGAGUGAACUGGUUAUGAACUCUUGCAAUAAAAGGUUGGACAACACAGGGAUGAAAGAAUGACAAUACUGUUAAACUCUUGCACUAUGAGGUUGAACAGUACAGGAAUGAAAGAGUGACAGUACUGGCCAACUCUUGCAUUAGGAAACUGGACAGCUUAGGAAUGAAGGAGCGACAAAACUGAUUAGCUCCUGCAUUGGAAAGUUGUUUUGCAUAGGGAUGAAAGAGUGACAAUACUGGUUAACUCCUACAUUUGGAAGUUGGACAGCAUAGGGAUGAAAGAGUGAGCCUCCAAUCAAUGUUCUUCAUAUCACGUACAUCAUUAAGGACAUCAUGCUUGCCUUCAUUGCCUGUAUAAUAGAAUAAAAUAACUCUCACUACACCUCUCUUGUAUACAAAAGACAGAGGUAGGCCUAUAUUUACUGCCCAAGCUGAAAUUAUUAUGUACUGUAUUCCUUGAUUUAUUUCAUUUUAUUCACUGAUGUAUUUCAAUUUCAUUUUGAGUUGUGGUGUUCUGUAGGGCGAGUUGCCAUAAACUUCAAUACCAUUCAGUUAUUUACGUUGAAAGAGAUUUCUUGAUAUGUUUAUUUAACUUCAGUCUUUUGUUCUUUAAUUGAAAUAUAAUAGAUACCUUUCAUACUACUACUACUACUACUACUAUUACUAUUACUACUACUACUACUAAUAUUACU